This 270-nucleotide ribosomal RNA is filed under the name uncultured bacterium. Its description in RNAcentral is "partial 16S ribosomal RNA". It matches the Rfam family "Bacterial small subunit ribosomal RNA", at positions 84 to 354 of the family's 1533-position model. The record is from RNAcentral.
UUGGGUUAGGUGGGCGGGACGGGUGAGUAACGCGUGGGUAACCUGCCUUACACAGGGGGAUAACACUUAGAAAUAGGUGCUAAAACCGCAUAAGCGCACAGCUUCGCAUGAAGCGGUGUGAAAAACUCCGGUGGUGUAAGAUGGACCCGCGUCUGAUUAGCUUGUUGGCGGGGUAACGGCCCACCAAGGCGACGAUCAGUAGCCGGCCUGAGAGGGCGGACGGCCACAUUGGGACUGAGGCACGGCCCAGACUCCUACGGAAGGCAGCAG